UAUCUUCUAGGGCCUUCUCCAU
This 22-nucleotide non-coding RNA is filed under the name Rattus norvegicus (Norway rat). The record is from RNAcentral. Lineage: Eukaryota; Metazoa; Chordata; Mammalia; Rodentia; Muridae.